CUUAACCCUGUGUGAGUAUCGAUGUUGUAUAUUUACAACGCGCCACUUCCUUUAAAUGCGUAUUUGCGCCUGCGCGCGGGCAUUUAAACUGCGUCGGCACCCCACAUCUCGCCUGCCGCCUCAGUUUGGUGCCUGCUGUCAAGCUGUGAGGGUCUCUGUGCUACUUCGCCCUCCCUUCAUGGUGUAUGAGCCACUUGCGUUGCAUUUCAGCAACAUCAUUAUACAAGCUGUGACUGUUAUAAAUCAUGUCGAAGCCAAGUUUGACCGACGAGGAGAUAAAUGAGUUGUUGGAGUGGGAUGACUCGGACGGAAGUGAGUACGGGGAGGAUGGGACCGACAACUGGGAGGUUGACGAGGGGGUGGAUGAGGUUUACGUGGAUGUGGAGGGAGAUGAAGAUGACCCUACCCCAAGGCCCUCUGAAAAGGGGACCUCGAGGAGUACCUCCCCUCCCCCACCUCCAUCAAGCCCUGCAGCCACCCCAGAGGCUUCCCCUUCAUCUACAGACAUGGUAACACUUUGCACCACACAAGAGGAGGCAGCAGAGGCAGAAAUACACGACCUGGCAACUCCACUCUCCACUCUGACCCAGCCAGCCACCUUAUCUCGCUCGCCUGACCUCUUGUGUAAACACAGCAGCCUACCCCACCACUACAGUUUCCACCACAACAACACCUCUCUUGCCUCCUGCCAUCAUCACAACUCGUAGCAGGACACUGUUCCAGCCCUCUACACCUCUGCCUUCCACCUCUACACCUGCUGAUGAUCAGCCCACCCCUGCCACCCCUCACCGACCCAAGCGUGGCCGUGUGUUCUCUCCUCUUCCAUCUACGUCUCGUGGGUUGCUGGAUGAUGAUGAUGAAGACGUGGAUGACCCACAACCACUGCCUUCUGCUGAACUCCUCCCCUCUACAGCAGUGAGAUCAUCCAAACGGAGGAGGGGGCCCCAGAAUCCAGUUGCGUAGCCUCAUACGUAACACUUUCAAUGUCCCACCUGAGGAGAGGCCAGCAACACAGCAAAAGAAAACUGAGAAGAGGCAGCGGUGCUUCCUCUGCCCCACCAGAGAGCAGGGACGAACCCGGGUCUGCUGCAGUGGAUGUGGGAAGUCCGUGUGUGCAUCCCACUACUCUGUCUUCUGCCCCUCCUGUUGCUAGGCGUGGAUUUUGCAGAGAACUGGGACUGUGCAGGCUGUGAGAGACAACUGUAAUACACCGAUCUCCAGAGGCUUUAUUUUUUUGUAUGGACAUAAGUAUUUUUUUUUUAUUUUUUUUUUAUGAUAGUUAAAAUAAGGUAGAAGUUUUUUGUAUUCUUUGUAAUAAAGUACAUAAAGCAUUCUGAUUGUCUUUUUCACCACUUAUUAGCACUAAGUAAUGUCUAAAGUAAUUUUAGAAAGAACAAACAUUAAAGUACAACAUACCUAAAGUGGUCAUUUAAAGCGUUAAAGUCACAGUUGCAAAGGUGCAACACGAUAUACAAUAUGGGUACUGAAAAUAUCGAUACUCAUCCAGGGUUAA
Eriocheir sinensis (Chinese mitten crab) is the source of this 1513-nucleotide long non-coding RNA. RefSeq lists it as uncharacterized. NCBI's taxonomy places the organism in Eukaryota, Metazoa, Arthropoda, Malacostraca, Decapoda, Varunidae. The transcript is spliced from 3 exons. The record is from RefSeq and is a predicted model, not a curated record.